This 440-nucleotide ribosomal RNA is filed under the name uncultured bacterium. Its description in RNAcentral is "partial 16S ribosomal RNA". It matches the Rfam family "Bacterial small subunit ribosomal RNA", at positions 338 to 795 of the family's 1533-position model. The record is from RNAcentral.
CCUACGGGUGGCAGCAGUGGGGGAUAUUGCACAAUGGGGGAAACCCUGAUGCAGCGACGCAGCGUGGGUGAAGAAGCGCCUCGGCGCGUAAAGCUCUGUCAGCAGGGAAGUAAAUGACGGUACCUGAAGAAGAAGCCCCGGCUAACUACGUGCCAGCAGCCGCGGUAAUACGUAGGGGGCAAGCGUUAUCCGGAUUUACUGGGUGUAAAGGGGGCGCAGACGGCGAUGCAAGCCAGGAGUGAAAGCCCGGGGCCCAACCCCGGGAGUGCUGUUGGAACUGCGUGGCUAGAGUGCAGGAGGGGCAGGCGGAAUUCCUGGUGUAGCGGUGAAAUGCGUAGAUAUCAGGAGGAACACCGGUGGCGAAGGCGGCCUGCUGGACUGCAACUGACGUUGAGGCCCGAAAGCGUGGGGAGCAAACAGGAUUAGAUACCCGGGUAGUC